AUGGUGGGCACUCCCUCUCUGACAUAUUCGACCGUCGGUGAUGGUCGCUACUCCCUUCGUUCCCGAGUGCAUUACAUCAAAAUGUCUAGCACACAAGAACAAAGGAGAAGCGGCCCCCACAAGAAAAAUCGAGAUUCUUCCUCUCUGACAUUUGUGAUCGUCAGUGAUGAUCGCUCUUUCAUUCAUUCGAAGUGCAUUACACCAAAAUGUCUAGCACCUUCGAAUGAACAAGAAGCGACCCCCACGACAACAGUCGGGAUUCUUACUCUCUCAUAUUUCGAUAGUAUAUGGUGGACUCUCCCUCAUAGAUAUUUUGACCGUUGGUGA
This 327-nucleotide ribosomal RNA is filed under the name Triticum aestivum (bread wheat). RNAcentral describes it as "partial small subunit ribosomal RNA". Lineage: Eukaryota; Viridiplantae; Streptophyta; Magnoliopsida; Poales; Poaceae. The record is from RNAcentral.